AUGAACGCUGGCGGCGUGCCUCAUACCUGCAAGUCGAGCGAACAGAUAAGGAGCUUGCUCCUUUGACGUUAGCGGCGGACGGGUGAGUAACACGUGGGUAACCUACCUAUAAGACUGGGAUAACUUCGGGAAACCGGAGCUAAUACCGGAUAAUAUUUCGAACCGCAUGGUUCGAUAGUGAAAGAUGGUUUUGCUAUCACUUAUAGAUGGACCCGCGCCGUAUUAGCUAGUUGGUAAGGUAACGGCUUACCAAGGCGACGAUACGUAGCCGACCUGAGAGGGUGAUCGGCCACACUGGAACUGAGACACGGUCCAGACUCCUACGGGAGGCAGCAGUAGGGAAUCUUCCGCAAUGGGCGAAAGCCUGACGGAGCAACGCCGCGUGAGUGAUGAAGGUCUUCGGAUCGUAAAACUCUGUUAUUAGGGAAGAACAUACGUGUAGGUAACUGUGCACGUCUUGACGGUACCUAAUCAGAAAGCCACGGCUAACUACGUG
This 496-nucleotide ribosomal RNA is filed under the name uncultured bacterium. Its description in RNAcentral is "partial 16S ribosomal RNA". It matches the Rfam family "Bacterial small subunit ribosomal RNA", at positions 29 to 507 of the family's 1533-position model. The record is from RNAcentral.